RNAcentral lists this transfer RNA (79 nucleotides) under Phenylobacterium glaciei. RNAcentral describes it as "Phenylobacterium sp. 20VBR1 tRNA-Tyr". It matches the Rfam family "tRNA". Rfam says of the family: Transfer RNA (tRNA) molecules are approximately 80 nucleotides in length. Their secondary structure includes four short double-helical elements and three loops (D, anti-codon, and T loops). Further hydrogen bonds mediate the characteristic L-shaped molecular structure. tRNAs have two regions of fundamental functional importance: the anti-codon, which is responsible for specific mRNA codon recognition, and the 3' end, to which the tRNAs corresponding amino acid is attached (by aminoacyl-tRNA synthetases). tRNAs cope with the degeneracy of the genetic code in two manners: having more than one tRNA (with a specific anti-codon) for a particular amino acid; and 'wobble' base-pairing, i.e. permitting non-standard base-pairing at the 3rd anti-codon position. The record is from RNAcentral. Lineage: Bacteria; Pseudomonadati; Pseudomonadota; Alphaproteobacteria; Caulobacterales; Caulobacteraceae.
GGGGAAUGUCCCGAGUGGCAAAGGGGGACUGUAAAUCCUGGCGUACGCCUUCGUAGGUUCGAGUCCUACUUCCCCACCA